Long non-coding RNA from Triticum dicoccoides, 2874 nucleotides. RefSeq lists it as uncharacterized. NCBI's taxonomy places the organism in Eukaryota, Viridiplantae, Streptophyta, Magnoliopsida, Poales, Poaceae. The transcript is spliced from 4 exons. The record is from RefSeq and is a predicted model, not a curated record.
GUCGCAUCUGGAGAGAUCCGGGGGGGGGCCUUGCUAUCGACCGCACCUAUGUCGCCGCAGGAGGGCAGGCGCGUGUCAUGGAGGCGCCGUGGGCGGCGGCGGGGGCGCGCCCGCAGCGGAUGAAGACGGCGUCUUCCCGGUUGCCAUCUUUCCCGGCGGCGCGGCGUCGGCGUGCUCCGUCUAAGAUGAGAUCAGCGAGGGCGCGGGCUUGGGGAGAGGGUGGGUGGCGGCCUCUUCUGUGGCUGCCCAUGACAGUUGUGGAGCCCUGGCCGGCGAGUGCAGUGGCGAGAGCGCCCCAGCGGAGUGCCUGAUCCAAAGUCGACAGGCUGGAUAAGGAGACAUCCGAAUGUAAUUGGUGCAGUGGCUAUGAGCGCGUGCAGCCUAACAGUAGGUUGCGUGCUGAAUUCUCCAAAAAAAAACUAGAUCGAGUGUUGGAGUGUAGGAGUUUAACAUUUUCCCUUUUAAUUUUCAGGUCGGGGCUCACAUGUCAUACAUCAAAUAAAACAAAAUACCAUCUACCGCGUGGGCAGGGUCUUCUUUUGUGAGAAAUAAAAAAUAUUGAGGUUUUUUUGCAAAAAAAACAGGGCACGCACUUCUAGUCAUUGACAGAUGGCCCCACGCCACACUGGCGGCCAAGUCAGCGUUGAUUUCGUAUCCAAACGCGGUUAGCACUCUAUUUGCACAACCGAGUCAAGUUAUUACAUCAGUACAAUGUAUAUCACAAGUUCUAGCACUAAAGUGACCGUUUACGCCAAGUUCAAGCAUCAUCGGUGUAAUCGACUCAAAACCACAGUUUGUGGGAUACAUAAAGGUCAUGGGGUUGAAUGAGCCACACAUGGCGCUCCUGGACUAAAUUAAAAGAAAAUUUAGCUAAACUAUCAGCAUCUUUGUUUGAACGACGCCCUUCAUAGACUAUCUUGCUGUUGAUACUCACAGCCCUUGCUUUAAUUUCGGUGAUGAUGGAUCCAUAAACGCCCCUGACAUUCCGGUUUAUAUCAUCUACCACUUGUUUUGCAUCCAACGCAAUAAUGAUGUUUUGAAGACCUAAAUCUUCUACCAGUGCAAAAGCUUCUCGGCAAGCUAUCGCCUCCAGAGUAGGUGCAUCGUGUACUCCUGAGAUCACUAGAGAAGAGCUUCCCAGGUAUGCGCCAUGCUCAUCUCGGCAAACUGCGGCGGCUGUUCCACUCAUGUGAUGCUUUGAGACACCUGCAUCAACAUGAAACUUUGCAUAGCCAGCCGGCGGAGCCUUGGGCCUUGUGUUACCAAUUGGAGCUUGCUGAUUCAGGCCUCUCGGUUUCCUGGCUGGUUGCUGAUCCUUUAUAAUUUCCAGUUCCGUCAUGUACCUACUAAUGAACGUAUGAGUUGCUUGAGGGCUCUGAAAUUCGCCUUCAUAUAUUGCCUUUUCACCGCGCUGUCCAUGUCGCCCACAAUGUGAUUGCUAGGAGUAAUUGACAAAAAAACUACCACAUUUCACAUAAGCGUCCCACAGAACUACCACAUUUUGAAAACUGACCAAAAACUUCAGUUUAACGCUGAUUUCGUGACAAAAAACUACCACAUCGCGUUGAUGACUGAUUGAAGCGUUUUAAACGACUUUCUGACAGACCCGGCCCACCGGUCGGGACGGAGGCCGCGCUAACGGCUAACGGCGCUCACCUGCCGCCCGUUAGCCGCGCGUGUCGGUCGGGCCCGGUCGGACCAGGCAUAACCUGGCCGAACGGCUCGCUCCUCGUCCUCACCACCUCACUCUUCCCCGACUCACUCUGCUCCUUUGCUCUCCACUGCUCCUCUUCUUCUUCUCGCAUUCCGGCGACGCCGCGACCAUGCCGUCGUGGCCCAACAGCAACGAGACCUCUGACGAUGAUGACGAGUACAUGAGCGAGUUCAGUAGCAUGAAUAUGGAGUAUUUUGUAAGUCAGCUCAAUCUCUCCUCUCCUCUCCUCUGCUAGGGUUAGGGUUAGGGUUUGAAGAAGGAUAGGGAUUUCCCCAUUUAAGUUCAUGUAUGCGAGUUCCAGUUGACAUAUAUGUGUUUCCUGCUGCAGCAAACUCCAGAUACUGUGAUAGAUCCAAGCUUUUCUGGGCUUGUGACCGAAUCUGACCGUAGGUGCAUCCUGCACAGGGAGAGGGCUGGCAAAUUUGUGGCAUUUGAAGGCACUGACACUGGCAGGAGAUUCAUAGGAUGUGCAACUGAGGAUGGUGUGAACUGUGGUGUUUUAGAGUGGGUAGAUGCCCCUUGGCAUGUGAUUUUUGCAAAGGUGCUUAACCAAGCUCUGGGAUAUGUAUCAUGAGGAGAACCUUGGUAGAGUGCAAGACAAAGAGGCUCAUGAGAUAGAGGUUGAGAAACUGAAGAAGGAGCUGGAUUCUCUUGGCAAUCAGUACAGUCAGCUUGUGGAUGAUGUAUCCAAGCUAUUUGAUUACCAGGAUGGGCAGAAAUCCCAUGACAUGGAUUACACAAGCCAGGCAAUCAAUGAACUUAAGGAGAAGAAGCAUCAGCUUGAGGAGCGGGCAAAGAUUGAGAUUCAAAUGGAGAAGCUUAAGCUCAAGAAAGAACAAAGGUGCAUCCUGCAGAGUCAAGCUGAUAUCAUUCAAAACACCAGGAAAGCCAUGAAGGAGAUACAAGUUGAGAGAGACCUCCUUAAAGAAGAGAAGAAGAAGCUGGAGCAUAUCAUUGCUGAGCUCUUGAAGGCAGGUCACGGGUGCAAAGAAAAGCUAGACAAGAUCAAAGAAGUUGUCAUGGAGGAGUGAAGUGGUAGCUAGGGUUGGUAAGUGAAUAUGAGGCCUAUAUAUAUAACUGGCCUAGUACUAGAAUCUGAUGCAGAUAUGCAUCUUAGUAUUAAUAUGAACUCCCUAUGAACUGCCUAUGGUUUCAGAUCA